UGCGGGGGGGGCAAGCGUUGUUCGGAAUUACUGGGCGUAAAGGGUUUGUAGGUGGCUUGCUAAGUCAGACGUGAAAUCCCUCAGCUUAACUGGGGAACUGCGUCUGAUACUGGCGAGCUUGAGUGCAGGAGAGGAACGCGGAAUUCCAGGUGUAGCGGUGAAAUGCGUAGAUAUCUGGAGGAACACCGGUGGCGAAGGCGGCGUUCUGGACUGUAACUGACACUGAGAAACGAAAGCCAGGGUAGCAAACGGG
This 253-nucleotide ribosomal RNA is filed under the name uncultured bacterium. Its description in RNAcentral is "partial 16S ribosomal RNA". It matches the Rfam family "Bacterial small subunit ribosomal RNA", at positions 524 to 776 of the family's 1533-position model. The record is from RNAcentral.